RNAcentral lists this ribosomal RNA (1557 nucleotides) under Escherichia coli. RNAcentral's name for it is "bacterial SSU rRNA". It matches the Rfam family "Bacterial small subunit ribosomal RNA". Lineage: Bacteria; Pseudomonadati; Pseudomonadota; Gammaproteobacteria; Enterobacterales; Enterobacteriaceae. The record is from RNAcentral.
UUAAAUUGAAGAGUUUGAUCAUGGCUCAGAUUGAACGCUGGCGGCAGGCCUAACACAUGCAAGUCGAACGGUAACAGGAAGCAGCUUGCUGCUUCGCUGACGAGUGGCGGACGGGUGAGUAAUGUCUGGGAAACUGCCUGAUGGAGGGGGGAUAACUACUGGAAACGGUAGCUAAUACCGCAUAACGUCGCAAGACCAAAGAGGGGGACCUUAGGGCCUCUUGCCAUCGGAUGUGCCCAGAUGGGAUUAGCUAGUAGGUGGGGUAACGGCUCACCUAGGCGACGAUCCCUAGCUGGUCUGAGAGGAUGACCAGCCACACUGGAACUGAGACACGGUCCAGACUCCUACGGGAGGCAGCAGUGGGGAAUAUUGCACAAUGGGCGCAAGCCUGAUGCAGCCAUGCCGCGUGUAUGAAGAAGGCCUUCGGGUUGUAAAGUACUUUCAGCGGGGAGGAAGGGAGUAAAGUUAAUACCUUUGCUCAUUGACGUUACCCGCAGAAGAAGCACCGGCUAACUCCGUGCCAGCAGCCGCGGUAAUACGGAGGGUGCAAGCGUUAAUCGGAAUUACUGGGCGUAAAGCGCACGCAGGCGGUUUGUUAAGUCAGAUGUGAAAUCCCCGGGCUCAACCUGGGAACUGCAUCUGAUACUGGCAAGCUUGAGUCUCGUAGAGGGGGGUAGAAUUCCAGGUGUAGCGGUGAAAUGCGUAGAGAUCUGGAGGAAUACCGGUGGCGAAGGCGGCCCCCUGGACGAAGACUGACGCUCAGGUGCGAAAGCGUGGGGAGCAAACAGGAUUAGAUACCCUGGUAGUCCACGCCGUAAACGAUGUCGACUUGGAGGUUGUGCCCUUGAGGCGUGGCUUCCGGAGCUAACGCGUUAAGUCGACCGCCUGGGGAGUACGGCCGCAAGGUUAAAACUCAAAUGAAUUGACGGGGGCCCGCACAAGCGGUGGAGCAUGUGGUUUAAUUCGAUGCAACGCGAAGAACCUUACCUGGUCUUGACAUCCACGGAAGUUUUCAGAGAUGAGAAUGUGCCUUCGGGAACCGUGAGACAGGUGCUGCAUGGCUGUCGUCAGCUCGUGUUGUGAAAUGUUGGGUUAAGUCCCGCAACGAGCGCAACCCUUAUCCUUUGUUGCCAGCGGUCCGGCCGGGAACUCAAAGGAGACUGCCAGUGAUAAACUGGAGGAAGGUGGGGAUGACGUCAAGUCAUCAUGGCCCUUACGACCAGGGCUACACACGUGCUACAAUGGCGCAUACAAAGAGAAGCGACCUCGCGAGAGCAAGCGGACCUCAUAAAGUGCGUCGUAGUCCGGAUUGGAGUCUGCAACUCGACUCCAUGAAGUCGGAAUCGCUAGUAAUCGUGGAUCAGAAUGCCACGGUGAAUACGUUCCCGGGCCUUGUACACACCGCCCGUCACACCAUGGGAGUGGGUUGCAAAAGAAGUAGGUAGCUUAACCUUCGGGAGGGCGCUUACCACUUUGUGAUUCAUGACUGGGGUGAAGUCGUAACAAGGUAACCGUAGGGGAACCUGCGGUUGGAUCACCUCCUUACCUUAAAGAAGC